This 352-nucleotide ribosomal RNA is filed under the name uncultured bacterium. Its description in RNAcentral is "bacterial SSU rRNA". It matches the Rfam family "Bacterial small subunit ribosomal RNA", at positions 29 to 410 of the family's 1533-position model. The record is from RNAcentral.
AACGAACGCUGGCGGCAGGCUUAACACAUGCAAGUCGAACGCCCCGCAAGGGGAGUGGCAGACGGGUGAGUAACGCGUGGGAAUCUACCCAGAUCUUCGGAACAACUGAGGGAAACUUCAGCUAAUACCGGAUACGCCCUACGGGGAAAGAUUUAUCGGAUCUGGAUGAGCCCGCGUUGGAUUAGCUAGUUGGUGGGGUAAUGGCCUACCAAGGCGACGACGGGUAGCCGGCCUGAGAGGGUGACCGGCCACACCUGGGACUGAGACACGGCCCAGACUCCUACGGGAGGCAGCAGUGGGGAAUAUUGCACAAUGGGCGAAAGCCUGAUGCAGCGACGCCGCGUGAGGGAUG